GAUUAAUUGACGUGCAAUGCCGAAGCAGAAACCACCUCACUCUCCCUUGGCUUGGGGCUGUAUAGAUAUCAGUAGUUUCACUGCCUUUUGCUGCCAUCUGGAACUUUUCAUUUGUAAAGAAGUAUAGCAGAGUAAAAGUGUAUGCGAGCCUUACUCUGGCACCAGUGAACAAGUAAUUUGCAGAGAGAAACCCCAAAUCCUAGAAUCAGUAUUAUUAGAAUAAGGACCACGUUAUUUAUCUUCAGGUUAACACUAGUUUAUCUAAAGAUAAUUUUCCCCUCUUAUCAUUCAUCUUUAAUUCUCCACAGACAGUGAAAGGUGUGUAACUGUGCAGGGAAAAGAGCUGAUAGUAUUCACUUCAGAUAAUAAACCAUAAACAGUACUGCUGCAUCUGCUAGGUUCAAAUUGCCUUCGUUUGCUGUGGAAAUUAAUCAAAUUAAAGCAGAAGAAAUUCUGUUUCAUUUUGCUUUUCCAACAUGGAACCUCAUAUACCAUGAAGAGGACCUGUGAAAAACUGUAUCUUGAAGAUGCAGAAAGGUCUGACUAUGGGUUUCCACUGCAGGACUAGCAACUAACUGGCAUUUGUGUGCUGGUGGUCCCUGCCCUGUGGACAUACAGUUAAAAAGCUCCAGAGGAGUUGUUGUUCCUUGUGCAAAGAGAAGACCUUUCCUUUGGCUCAGAGCUGGCAUCACUGCAUCAGUUGAGUGGUUACCUGGAUUGGAAGAUGGUAAAAGCAAUUGCUGCUGGGCUUUUUUUGUACAGCAGAAAGAGGUCGCAAUCUUCCCUGUGGACUGUGGUGGUUAUUCCCCCAAACUUAUGCCUUUUGCCAGCUUGGUGAUAGAACUUCGGGGUUUCAGUGGAGCAGGUGUCAAAGCACACAGCCAAGGAAUGGAGCUGAAGGCAUAAUUCUUAGUCUGAGACGUUAACUAUGGGCACAGUUGUAAUCUGAGAAAAUCAUGAAUGUCACCAAUGCAUUCUGGUAAAGUGAUAGCUAUAAAAUGAAAGAUUUAAAGGAAGCAAUCAUAAUGGUUAACAGCAGUAUGAAAAAGCUUAAACAUGUUCAUAAAUUUCAAUAACUGCUGAGCAAUAUACUGGAUUCAUCUAGGAGAGAUUUAAUUUGAAAAAUGCUAAAUAGGAGGAACAGACUGGAAACAGACAUUCCUCCUGAAGAUGAAGCCUUUUGGUGAGAAAUUUACAUUGCACUUCAGCUGAAGCGAUACUAAAUGUGAGUACAAUGUGUUAGAAAAGGAAUUAUAAAAUAAAUUGUGGAAGGAGGUUUUUAAAUUUGCACGUUAAGGAAAAAAAGCUUUAUUUUGUAUUCUCACUUCAGAUGAUGAUCGUGUCUUGAUGUAUAAGUGCCCAUGCAUGCUGAAAUAAAUG
This 1380-nucleotide long non-coding RNA is filed under the name Gallus gallus (chicken). RNAcentral's name for it is "lncRNA (ENSGALG00000046796.2)". The record is from RNAcentral. Lineage: Eukaryota; Metazoa; Chordata; Aves; Galliformes; Phasianidae.